This is a long non-coding RNA of Penaeus indicus, 401 nucleotides long. RefSeq lists it as uncharacterized. The record is from RefSeq and is a predicted model, not a curated record. The transcript has 3 exons. NCBI's taxonomy places the organism in Eukaryota, Metazoa, Arthropoda, Malacostraca, Decapoda, Penaeidae.
UCUAGCAUAGGCGCGUCAUUGCGCUUUCACGCAGACAGACAGGCAGAAGAUAGGUGCCCAGACAGACACGUGCGCUGGGAUCUGGAGAUAAUACGUGAUAGAAUUUGCUUCUGUCGGUCCUUUUGGCUUGUAGGGAGGAGGCAUGAAGGGCCCAUGUGUUCGAGUGUUUGUGACUUUGGCUUCGGCGACCGCCUUCUUGCAGUUCCUCUCGCCCGCCAUCGCCGCCCAGGAUGACACGCCUGCAGUCAUUCCGAGCGAUUCCGGGAGGAGCUGCGCGGGCGAGGGCUGCCUCCGACGCCCUUUGUCUGUCGCUUCCGAGUUUCCUUCGUCGAUCUCUGAGCCUGUGAAACGAACGGGAAGUGAGACGGAGAGAAAGAUAGAGGAGGAGAAGAAGGGAGAGA